RNAcentral lists this ribosomal RNA (253 nucleotides) under Pseudomonas fluorescens. RNAcentral's name for it is "partial 23S ribosomal RNA". It matches the Rfam family "Bacterial large subunit ribosomal RNA", at positions 1433 to 1792 of the family's 2925-position model. Lineage: Bacteria; Pseudomonadati; Pseudomonadota; Gammaproteobacteria; Pseudomonadales; Pseudomonadaceae. The record is from RNAcentral.
AUAUUCCCCGGCCAGUGGAUGGUGACGGAUGCCGUAUAUCGUUCAACCUUAUCGGAUUGGUUGGGCGGUGAAGGGGUCCCAGGAAAGAGCCUCCACGUGAGACCGUACCCGAAACCGACACAGGUGGACAGGUAGAGUAUACCAAGGCGCUUGAGAGAACGAUGCUGAAGGAACUCGGCAAUUUGCCUCCGUAACUUCGGGAUAAGGAGGCCCUGUCGGUGGGCAACCAUCGGCAGGGGGCACAGACCAGGGG